RNAcentral lists this ribosomal RNA (489 nucleotides) under uncultured bacterium. RNAcentral describes it as "partial 16S ribosomal RNA". It matches the Rfam family "Bacterial small subunit ribosomal RNA", at positions 29 to 504 of the family's 1533-position model. The record is from RNAcentral.
AGUGAACGCUGGCGGUAGGCCUAACACAUGCAAGUCGAACGGCAGCACAGUAAGAGCUUGCUCUUACGGGUGGCGAGUGGCGGACGGGUGAGGAAUACAUCGGAAUCUACUUUUUCGUGGGGGAUAACGUAGGGAAACUUACGCUAAUACCGCAUACGACCUACGGGUGAAAGCAGGGGAUCUUCGGACCUUGCGCGAUUGAAUGAGCCGAUGUCGGAUUAGCUAGUUGGCGGGGUAAAGGCCCACCAAGGCGACGAUCCGUAGCUGGUCUGAGAGGAUGAUCAGCCACGCUGGAACUGAGACACCGUCCAGACUCCUACGGGAGGCAGCAGGGAGGAAUAUAGGACAAGGGGCGCAAGCCUGAUCCAGCCAUGCCGCGUGGGUGAAGAAGGCCGUGGGGUUGUAAAGCCCUUUUGUUGAGAAAGAACAGCAGCAGGUUAAUACCCCGUUGUGCUGACGGUACCCAAAGAAUAAGCACCGACUAACUUC